Molecule: ribosomal RNA, 1342 nt
Filed under: uncultured bacterium
Lineage: Bacteria
Description: bacterial SSU rRNA
Rfam family: Bacterial small subunit ribosomal RNA
Source: RNAcentral
GAACCCUUUCGGCGUGCUUAACACAUGCAAGUCGAACGGAAAGGCCCUGCUUUUGUGGGGUGCUCGAGUGGCGAACGGGUGAGUAACACGUGAGUAACCUGCCCUUGACUUUGGGAUAACUUCAGGAAACUGGGGCUAAUACCGGAUAGGAGCUCCUGCUGCAUGGUGGGGGUUGGAAAGUUUCGGCGGUUGGGGAUGGACUCGCGGCUUAUCAGCUUGUUGGUGGGGUAGUGGCUUACCAAGGCUUUGACGGGUAGCCGGCCUGAGAGGGUGACCGGCCACAUUGGGACUGAGAUACGGCCCAGACUCCUACGGGAGGCAGCAGUGGGGAAUAUUGCACAAUGAGCGGAAGCCUGAUGCAGCAACGCCGCGUGCGGGAUGACGGCCUUCGGGUUGUAAACCGCUUUCGCCUGUGACGAAGCGUGAGUGACGGUAAUGGGUAAAGAAGCACCGGCUAACUACGUGCCAGCAGCCGCGGUGAUACGUAGGGUGCGAGCGUUGUCCGGAUUUAUUGGGCGUAAGGGCUCGUAGGUGGUUGAUCGCGUCGGAAGUGUAAUCUUGGGGCUUAACCCUGAGCGUGCUUUCGAUACGGGUUGACUUGAGGAAGGUAGGGGAGAAUGGAAUUCCUGGUGGAGCGGUGGAAUGCGCAGAUAUCAGGAGGAACACCAGUGGCGAAGGCGGUUCUCUGGGCCUUUCCUGACGCUGAGGAGCGAAAGCGUGGGGAGCGAACAGGCUUAGAUACCCUGGUAGUCCACGCUGUAAACGGUGGGUACUAGGUGUGGGGUCCAUUCCACGGGUUCCGUGCCGUAGCUAACGCUUUAAGUACCCCGCCUGGGGAGUACGGCCGCAAGGCUAAAACUCAAAGGAAUUGACGGGGCCCCGCACAAGCGGCGGAGCAUGCGGAUUAAUUCGAUGCAACGCGUAGAACCUUACCUGGGUUUGACAUGGAUCGGGAGUGCUCAGAGAUGGGUGUGCCUCUUUUGGGGUCGGUUCACAGGUGGUGCAUGGCUGUCGUCAGCUCGUGUCGUGAGAUGUUGGGUUAAGUCCCGCAACGAGCGCAACCCUUGUUCACUGUUGCCAGCACGUUAUGGUGGGGACUCAGUGGAGACCGCCGGGGUCAACUCGGAGGAAGGUGGGGAUGACGUCAAGUCAUCAUGCCCCUUAUGUCCAGGGCUUCACGCAUGCUACAAUGGCUGGUACAGAGAGUGGCGAGCCUGUGAGGGUGAGCGAAUCUCGGAAAGCCGGUCUCAGUUCGGAUUGGGGUCUGCAACUCGACCUCAUGAAGUCGGAGUCGCUAGUAAUCGCAGAUCAGCAACGCUGCGGUGAAUACGUUCCCGGGGCU